Molecule: ribosomal RNA, 1095 nt
Filed under: Triticum aestivum (bread wheat)
Lineage: Eukaryota; Viridiplantae; Streptophyta; Magnoliopsida; Poales; Poaceae
Description: partial small subunit ribosomal RNA
Source: RNAcentral
AUGGCCGCCUCUGCCGCCGCCGACGACAUUGCCGAUCAGCUUGCGUUCACCUCGCUUCCCCCCGACACACAGUUCCGCCCGUUCCAUCUGAGGCAGUACGGCUGGUUCUGGCUCCUGGAGGAGUUACUCAUGGCCGUUCCGGCCAUCCACUCGGUCUUCAUGCCGAGGCCCUCGGACGUCCUCCUUGCCAGCUUCCCCAAGUGCGGCACCACCUGGCUCAAGGCCCUCGCCUUCGCCACGCUCAACCGGGCCGAGCACCCGCCGCUACUCAAGUACUUGGAGAUGGCGUUCGGGCAGCCGAUGGGCGACAGUGGAGCAGACGGUGUCUUCGCGGCGCUCCCUUCGCCACGCGUGCUCGCCACGCACCUCCCCUGCUCUCUCCUGCCACGGCGCAUGACCGCGGAGGAGUCCGGCUGCCGGAUCGUGUACAUCUGCCGGGACCCAAAGGAUGCAUUCGUCUCCUCGUGGUUCUUCGCCAAGAAGGGGGCGGCCGCCAUUGCACGAACGCUAGCACGAGCCGACGAGGACACGGACAUGCAGCAACAGCCGCCGCCGCCGUACACAUUCGAGCAGUGGCGGAGCCAGGAAAUCCGGAUGAGGAGGGCCGAGGGGGGCCAGGGCCCUUGCUGGUCCCCCUGGCUCCGCCACUGCAUUCAAGGAGGCGUUCGAGCUGUUCUGCGAUGGCAUAUGCGUCAGCGGCCCGCAGUGGCGCCACGUGCUGGGCUACUAGGAGAUGAGCAGGAAGCGGCCGGAGAAGGUGCUCUUCCUCCGGUACGAGGAGAUGCUCCGGGACCCGUGAGCAACGUGAAGAAGCUGGCGGAGUUCAUGGGGUGCGCGUUCUCCGCUGAGGAAGAGGCGGCCGGGGUGGUGCAGGCCAUCGUCGAGCUGUGCAGCUUCCGGAGCUUGAAGAACAUGGAGGUGAACAAGAGUGGCAGCCAGGGUCCGGCAGCACACGAGUCCUUCUUCCGGAAGGGUGUGGUAGGGGACUGGAGCAACCACAUGACGCCGACGAUGGCGGAGCGGCUGGACAAGAUCGUCGAGGACGCACUGCAAGGCUCGGGGUUCAGUUUCGCCGUCGCAGGGUCGUCCUCGUGA